Molecule: ribosomal RNA, 471 nt
Filed under: uncultured bacterium
Lineage: Bacteria
Description: bacterial SSU rRNA
Rfam family: Bacterial small subunit ribosomal RNA
Source: RNAcentral
ACUCCUACGGGAGGCAGCAGUGGGGAAUAUUGCACAAUGGGCGCAAGCCUGAUGCAGCCAUGCCGCGUGUAUGAAGAAGGCCUCGGUUGUAAAGUACUUCUAGCAGUGAGGAAGGUGGGUAGUGUUAAUAGCAUACUCAUUUGACGUUAGCUGCAGAAGAAGCACCGGCUAACUCCGUGCCAGCAGCCGCGGUAAUACGGAGGGUGCGAGCGUUAAUCGGAAUUACUGGGCGUAAAGCGCAUGCAGGUGGUUUGUUAAGUCAGAUGUGAAAGCCCGGGGCUCAACCUCGGAAUUGCAUUUGAAACUGGCAAACUAGAGUACUGUAGAGGGGGUAGAAUUUCAGGUGUAGCGGUGAAAUGCGUAGAGAUCUGAAGGAAUACCGGUGGCGAAGGCGGCCCCCUGGACAGAUACUGACACUCAGAUGCGAAAGCGUGGGGAGCAAACAGGAUUAGAUACCCUGGUAGGAAACCG